CCAGACUCCUACGGGAGGCAGCAGUGGGGAAUAUUGCACAAUGGGGGAAACCCUGAUGCAGCGACGCCGCGUGAAGGACGAAGUAUUUCGGUACGUAAACUUCUAUCAGCAGGGAAGAAAAUGACGGUACCUGACCAAGAAGCCCCGGCUAACUACGUGCCAGCAGCCGCGGUAAUACGUAGGGGGCAAGCGUUAUCCGGAUUUACUGGGUGUAAAGGGAGCGUAGACGGCCAUGCAAGUCUGAUGUGAAAACCCGGGGCUCAACCCCGGGACUGCAUUGGAAACUGUGCGGCUGGAGUGUCGGAGAGGCAAGUGGAAUUCCUAGUGUAGCGGUGAAAUGCGUAGACAUUAGGAGGAACACCAGUGGCGAAGGCGGCUUGCUGGACGACGACCGACGUUGAGGCUCGAAAGCGUGGGGAGCAAACAGGAUUAGAUACCCUCGUAC
RNAcentral lists this ribosomal RNA (445 nucleotides) under uncultured bacterium. Its description in RNAcentral is "bacterial SSU rRNA". It matches the Rfam family "Bacterial small subunit ribosomal RNA", at positions 331 to 793 of the family's 1533-position model. The record is from RNAcentral.